This 1154-nucleotide long non-coding RNA is filed under the name Apteryx haastii (Great spotted kiwi). RNAcentral's name for it is "lncRNA (ENSAHAG00000004764.1)". The record is from RNAcentral. Lineage: Eukaryota; Metazoa; Chordata; Aves; Apterygiformes; Apterygidae.
ACCAUUGGGAAGGGCACCUCGCGAGGACACCAGCAGCCUGCUCACACUCUGCCCAGCAGCUCCCAAACGCAGCCGGGAGCAGCACCUGGGGCUGCGCUGGCAGCAGCAGCUCAGGGAAACACUUUAACAUGGAUCCCAGACCCACCACAGGGCCAAAGGUUCCUGCACCCAAACCCCACCCAGCCGCCCCGGCCCAGCUGCUCGGGGCAGGCUGCCACAUCUGGCUGCAGGGCAGCUGCCCGCUCUAGCCCAGGUCACUCUGUCCCCUGCUCACGGCCCCACCAGCCCCUGCUGCAGCUCGUGCAGGAAAGCAGCCCCAUCGCCAGCACUGCUGCCGCCGCCCCGGUGCGAGGGCACCCGCCGGCAGUUGAAUGUGCCCGCAGCCCCCACCAAACCCACUCGCACCCGCUCUCUCUCCCGCUUGCUUCUUGCCUGCUUUUCUCCUGCUCUUCCUUCACGUCUUUUUUCUCCUUCCACAUGUUGGACUCCAACUGGCUGUCAGAGCCAUCAGUGAAAUCGUGCCCGCCCUCCUCCUCCUGCCAGCCAAUAGGAGGGCUGCACUGGGGCAAUGCCAUGGCAACGUUGGGCCCUCCUGCCCUGGUGACUUGCUCUGCCCCCUCAGCCUGCAGUUGGGCACCAUGUUGUGGGUGGCAGUGCGGGUUGUGGCAGGGCCUGGUGGCAGCACGGCGCUGUGUGGCCAGGCAGUGUGGGGCCCCGUGGUGUGGCCGCUGCCCCGGCAAGGCUGGGCUUGGCCACAGGGUCCCCAUGGGGCUGCUGGCUGCCCAGCGCCCUGGGGACUGUGGGUGGCGUGGGGGGCAGUGGUGCCUCCAACAGUGAACCCUCUCAUCUACAGCAUGAGGAACAAGGAGCUCAAGGACGCACUGAAGAAACUGGUUCAACUGCUACUACUUCAGCAGCAAUAAGCUGCCCAUCUCUCCUCGCAAGGGAUUUCCAAUUUACCUCAGGCAACUCUUSUGCUUUGGGCAUUCUAUCUGUGAUAAUUCUGUUUGUAAAUGGUUGAAUUCAUCCCACUUCUCCAGCAGCGCAAAGCCCAUCUGUCUGACCUAGAAGCCUUCCAUAAAUCUGCAUAGCACUGUGUCAGGGCUGGCCUCUCAGCCAGCAUCUCUGUAAUAAAAGGGGAUUUCCUGUGGACA